UCUGCUACAUCCUUCUGUGCUUUGGCUGGAUUGUAUGGCUUCAGGAAGGAGGAAUACACAUAUCCUGUGAGGACUAGAACCCAGAAUAAAGAGACAGAAAAUAAAUAAACAGCAAAAUGCUGCUAAAAUAAGUUCAAAACCAACCGCUUUAUGCAGCUGUCAGUGUGACAGAGGCAAACAGAUGGGGCCAGAAUGAAAAGAAAUCAAUAUCCCAAAGGGAAGCUGUUAUUGGGAUAUUUGUGCAGAGAACUUACUUCCUGUGUCAACAAGCCAUCUGCUUGUGCUUCCAAAGGGGUCCUUUUGCUCCACAACAGCCACCAGUUCUCCUUCAUGCAAGUCAAUAUCCAAUUCCUGCGCGGCGUUGCACUUGCGCUUAGCCUGGUACAGCGACUCGGUGCUGUACGUGGACAGCAGCUUGGACCUGUGCUCCUCUGUUUGCCGUGGGGACUCCAGCUGGAAACAAACAGAUGAUAUUCAUCCUCAGUAAUGCUGGGGCUAUUUCCAGGUGAAAAUGAUGCAUGUGGCAACUGACCCAGUGUUUUUACACACAGACCAAGGAGUUACUUACACCGGAACUAAAUCUCCUCUGCAUAUGCAGGAAGAACCUGUCCCACUGCUAUAUUAACAGCUGCCCCUUACUAUUAUGCGCUCUGUUCCAGUCUUGAUGGAAAGGAAUAUUCCAGAAUUGCCUCACUAGAGUGUGUUUCCCAAGCAGCCUUGCUUCUGUUCAGCCCAAAGGAGCCUGGCUAAUGAAAGAAACAUCCAGAGCGCAGCUCGAAAAAUCCCUGAACUCCUCCCUUUGAAAACAUAUCAACCCCUAAUUCUCCCAAGCUCCAGCUAUAAUUCAAGAAAAGUCAAAACCACUGGGACACGUGGCAGAGAAUUUCAUUUUUAAUCUUUGUGGGAGCAGGGAGUUUUACUACAAGGCCGACAAAAUGCUUCAUUUUCCUGUGUGCUGUUGCCCCACCUGAGGAGA
Passer domesticus (house sparrow) is the source of this 976-nucleotide long non-coding RNA. RefSeq lists it as uncharacterized. Lineage: Eukaryota; Metazoa; Chordata; Aves; Passeriformes; Passeridae. The transcript has 3 exons. The record is from RefSeq and is a predicted model, not a curated record.